Molecule: ribosomal RNA, 478 nt
Filed under: uncultured bacterium
Lineage: Bacteria
Description: partial 16S ribosomal RNA
Rfam family: Bacterial small subunit ribosomal RNA
Source: RNAcentral
GACGAACGCUGGCGGCGUGCUUAACACAUGCAAGUCGAACGGUAAGGCCCUUCGGGGUACACGAGUGGCGAACGGGUGAGUAACACGUGGGUGAUCUGCCCUGCACUUCGGGAUAAGCCUGGGAAACUGGGUCUAAUACCGGAUAGGACCACUGCCUGCAUGGGUGGUGGUGGAAAGCUUUUGCGGUGUGGGAUGGGCCCGCGGCCUAUCAGCUUGUUGGUGGGGUGAUGGCCUACCAAGGCGACGACGGGUAGCCGGGCUGGGAGGGUGACCGGCAAGGCUGGGACGGGGAUGCGGCCCAGACUCCUACGGGAGGCAGCAGUGGGGAAUAUUGCACAAUGGGCGCAAGGCGGAUGCAGCGGCGCCGCGUGAGGGAUGACGGCCUUCGGGUUGUAAACCUCUUUCAGCACCGACGAAGCGCAAGUGACGGUAGGUGCAGAAGAAGGACCGGCCAACUACGUGCCAGCCGCCGCCGUAA